Molecule: long non-coding RNA, 626 nt
Filed under: Homo sapiens (human)
Lineage: Eukaryota; Metazoa; Chordata; Mammalia; Primates; Hominidae
Description: non-protein coding lnc-USP12-9:14
Source: RNAcentral
CUUCAUUCCGAUGACAGCCUUCAUGCUGCAACCUGCAGCAGGAAAAUGGGCUUCAGUUUUCAAGUCUGCAGCUGAGUUGGGAAGUUGCGGACAGUAACCAGUAAUACACAAUAUUGGCAACAAUGCAACAAAAUGGACACACUCUACUCUCCAGCGGGAGUGUUAAAAAAACGAAAAGAAGAGAAAGAAAAAAGGAAAGAAGCAGAAGGAAGAACUCUGCUGCAGUACUGGAAGCAGGCAGAUUAUUUAAAUUACGGUGGUGCCAUGGAACAAGAGAAGGCAGAUGAAGAGCGACACCCUUCAAGUUAACACAGGAACAAUUAACAAUAGAAUCCUUAAGAUGCAAAACUCCUUGCUGUUUACCAGCAACAGAAGAGAGGAAGAAGUGGCUCUGGGGGAAUUGCGUGCCAGUCUGCGGCAGGUUGGCUGGAGAAGCAGCCCUGGUUGGAGCUUUGGAGAGACACAUGUGCAUUUACUUGUUACCUGGAAGACCUUUUAAAAAAAAUUCUCGUAAAUCUGUCAUUUGUGUAUCCUCAAGGUUUGUGGCAGAAAGCAGAUAUAUCUGCUCCUGUGUGUAAUUGUUGUUAAAAAACACAAAAAGGAAAUAAAAGUGCACAACAUACCUA